RNAcentral lists this transfer RNA (73 nucleotides) under Arthrobacter sp. zg-Y1110. Its description in RNAcentral is "tRNA-Arg". It matches the Rfam family "tRNA". Rfam says of the family: Transfer RNA (tRNA) molecules are approximately 80 nucleotides in length. Their secondary structure includes four short double-helical elements and three loops (D, anti-codon, and T loops). Further hydrogen bonds mediate the characteristic L-shaped molecular structure. tRNAs have two regions of fundamental functional importance: the anti-codon, which is responsible for specific mRNA codon recognition, and the 3' end, to which the tRNAs corresponding amino acid is attached (by aminoacyl-tRNA synthetases). tRNAs cope with the degeneracy of the genetic code in two manners: having more than one tRNA (with a specific anti-codon) for a particular amino acid; and 'wobble' base-pairing, i.e. permitting non-standard base-pairing at the 3rd anti-codon position. The record is from RNAcentral. Lineage: Bacteria; Bacillati; Actinomycetota; Actinomycetes; Micrococcales; Micrococcaceae.
GCCUGCGUAGCUCAGUGGAAAGAGCGUCCCCCUCCUAAGGGGAAGGUCACGGGUUCGAAUCCCGUCGCGGGCU